GAAUUACAUUUGUUUGAUUUAGGGAUUUUGGAUAUAAAUGCAUGCAACCAUACUAAAUUUCCUAAGUUUGUCAUUUGUAAUUUCAAUUAUGCCACAUAUAAACAUCAUGUUAUUAGAAAAGCCACCAGACAAACUUAAAAAUGGUCCAAAAAUGAAAUCUAAAAAUAUGAAAAAUAAUAGUAAUUUCAUUUUGCAAAUGAAAGGUGUCAAAUUGCUUUUUAAAUUAUGAAGAAUUUAAAACAUUUCCUAGACAGAUAGUCUUCCAUAAAGUUGUAUCUGCCUCUUAAUUCAAUGAUUAUUUAUUAAGAUCCUGUUGGCGGUCUCUGCAGAUAGAACUGGGGCAUAAAAUGAACAUCAAGAACCUAUUUCCAUAAAGAACCUACUCUUGGCUUACUAUGAUUAUUUUUAACCUUUCAUUUUUAUUGAUAACAUGAAACAUAGUAGCAGUAAAAGAUUUUGUGCUAUAAGAGAUUUCAGAAGUAUAAGCACCUUAUUUUAGCCCAGAGAAAGUGAAGUGAAGUGCCCAGUCACUUCAGGAAUUAGUUAUAUUGGUACUGGCAAUCUGGUCUGGAGUUCUUUUCAACUAUGCCAGUUACCAACUAGGUACUAAUUGAAUCAACAGGGUUCUUCUGGGAAAUAAAUCUCUAUAAAGCAGCCUAGAAAAAGCACCAUGCAUGUAGUAACAAGUGUUUAAAAAUCAGGCUCCUUCUUUUCCCACAAACCAUCAUUUCCAGCUGCACAGUGUUGUCAAUCAUUUUUUCAAGAACCCAGGCUGGAAAACUUGGGAGUCACUCAUGGCUACUCUUUCUCUUUACAUUCAAGUCAAUUAUUGCUCAAUUCUUUUCCAAUGCUUCUUUUCCAUUUUCACAGGUACCAGUUAAGUCCAAGUUCUUAUUAUUUCCAGUCUGGAUAACUGCAGGUGUCUCUCAGCUGAUUCAGCAGUCUGAAUUUCUCCCUCAAUCAAGAAGCUGGACACGAUCAUUUCAAAGAAAGAAGUUAUGAAGAGGUUUGAAUGUCAAACAGCGGAUUUUAUAUUUGAUCCUGGAGGCAACAAGUGAGUACAGGGGAAGCGUGUGGAGGGAGAAAGAAAAAAGGGAGAAGGGCUGUCAGAUGGCUAGAGUUCAGCUUUAGGAAUCACUUUGGUGUCUGGAAUGAAGGAUGGACAGGGGUGGGUUAUGACCUGAGAAAGACAGAUCUAUCCAGCAGGGUGUAACAGGACAAGUGUGAGGUGAUAAGAACCUGCUCUAGAGUGGUGGUAUCAGAGAAGAAAGGGCACAUUUGAAAAAUGCUAACUAUGUGGAGUGAGAGACAGUGACAUCUAGAACGAGAGCCUGAAAGAUGGAAGAUUAAGCUGCCCUUGAUAGUAAUAGAAAAGUGAGGAAAAGAGGAGAGUUUGAAGGAAAGAUCAUGAGUUCAAUUUUGGAAAGGAACUUGCAAUCUAAUGGGUGAAAAGUUCAUGAUUGAUUUAAGAUGUCUAUAGGACAUCCAGAUCUGAAAGGCUGCUGGAGUGAGACUGGAGAUCAGCAGAGAGGUCAGGAGAAGAUAAACAUAUUUGAGAAUCAUCACCAUAGAGAAAAUAAUUGCAAGGUAUACAAAUAUGCUGAGGAAAGUGGGAUAAUAAGUUCAUAAGGAAGGUGUAGAAGAGUUGUACAGGGGCAAUAAGGGCCCAAGUGAGGUUGUCUGACAUAAAUUUGUAAAGUACUCAGUUGAAGAGUUGAAUGAUUUUCUCUACUUAUGUUCAACAGCAUAUGUAUAGGAAUAAAUGUGACAAAUGGUGAGAAUGAUCCUUGGCUGGGCAUAAUCAGAGAUAUGACUGGGACAGGGGUGAAGGGUGGACAGGGGUAGACAGGGGAGGACAGGGUUUCAAGAAAAGCUGACAGAAUUGGGCUGAACUUGGUUCAGGGGUCAAGAUGGGGAAAAGAUAACAGAGUGGAAAGUGCAGAGGAGAUGGCCUGGAAAAGAACUAAAAGGUUAAAGUAUUGGAGGUCAAAGGGUGGAUAAAGAAUGAAGUAUGGUAAGGGAAAACAGAGAAAGAGCUGGAGAGCCAACAGAAUAUAGUCAGAUAAAAAGAUUUUAGUAUUCCUAAACAUAGAGACAUUAUAUCUAUGAGUGAUGGCAAAAUCAAGGGUAUGAGCAGCUUUGUGUGUAGGUGAGGUAGCAUGGAGUGAUAGCUCAAAGAAUUAAGUUUGUUAAGGAAUUGAGUAGUUAAGAGUGUUUGGAGGAGAAUCAGUGUAUAUGUUCAAGUCCCCUGGUAUGAGGGCACGAGUUGAAGAGGAGAAAAAAAAUUGCAUCCUUGGUCUAAGUGGUCAGACCUAGAGCAAACAGAGAAAGCAGCUGAAGUCUACCAUCACAUCCAAAGUAAAGAGUGAAUGUACCUUGAAAUAUAACUUAAUGCCCGUCAAAGUUCUGUCUUUAUUAAAUAAGGUUUCUAUUAAUGGAAUUUGUAGCUGGAAUUCAAUUUCUCUACUGAAAUAUUACUGUAAAGUCAAAAAGGAGUUUUAUUUUGAGAUUUUUGUUUGGAAUUUGUAUAAUCUCCUAAGAGAACAUGGGCAAUACCAAUUAAGGAAAGGUUAUAAAAAUUAUAAUGCAUGAUUAUAAAAAUAUAUUUUUUGUAUCAAUUCAAAUGACAAUUAUUAAGAAUUCAAAUAAGUAUGGCAAGACUAUAUAUGAUAUGAUAUAGAGGAAAACAAGCAGAACAAGAGGGGAAAUGAUAUAGAAAACUAUAAUGUAAAUGAAAGAAUAAAAGAAUUCAAUUCUGGGUAUUAUAAUGAUUUGUUGGGAGUUCAAAUGUGGGGUCCCUGUUCGGGCGCCAAAAUGUGGUGAGCUUUUUCUUCUCAAAACACAGCCAGGUGAUAAAAGUUCAGAUCUUUUAUUAUCUCCAAUAUAGCCCAGUUAGCUUAGAGGUCUAUCUCUCUGCUUGGUUCCAAGAGCUCCCUCCGAAUGUCGCCAAAUCCAAAGGUCUUGUCCUUCAGCCUCUGCCUCUGCCUCUGCUUUCUUCAGCCUCCAACCAGCACAGAGAUGGAAUGAAUCUCUUGUCUCCUUCACUUGGGGCUCGGCUAGCUUUCUGGUGAGUCUUUCAGACCAGCUUGGUCUCAGUGGGGGAAGUGCAGGAGCCCAGCCACCAACUACAGUGGUGUGAGAUGAAGAUGAAUCUGGUUGUCCACUGAACUCUCCACUCGUAGCUUCUUCCUCUGAAAACUCUUUCUUCUGCCACCAGCCAGCCAAAUGGAAAAUAUUCUCCUUGCCUCGGAGAGAGGGCUUCUGGCGUAAUUCCGCUGAAAUCUCUCAAAGUGCUCUCUGUCUGCACCAGAGUUGCUCCUCUCCAGUCCAGCUGAACUCUCUUCUGCGACCAGCCAGCCAAGUGGAAAAUAUAUUCUGGAAUAGCUCUCUCUUCAUUGGCCUUAUAUGUGAAUCUUCUGAGAGAAUGGGAUUAUGGGUUUUCUCCCAUAGUGCUCUCUGGCCCAAAGAGCUUUAAGGGAGGUGUGAACACAAAGGUGUAAACACAAGCAUUGUAAUUAGUUCUACUUAGUACCUUGUUUCAGGUUCUGGCCAAAAUCUUCUUGUAAGAUUAGAUCAACUCUAAUUAGUUAGCAGUUUGUAAGGAUUCCAACAUCGAUUCAUACUGGGGCCUAAAAGAAAGGUUGAGAACAUGUGUCUCCCUUCCUCUACUUUGCAAAGAUAAGAGACUACAUGUACAGAAUGUGGACUAUAUGCUCAGACAUGACUGAUAUGUUCAAUGGCUCUGUUCAACUGCUUGUUUGUUUAAAUUUGUUAUAAGGGAUGUUUGCUGGGCAGAGGAAGCAGGGAGGGAUACAUUUAGAAAUGAAGAUUAAAUAAAACCAAAAACUAUCAACGAAAACAAUAAUUUUAAAAAGGUAGCACGGGAAAAACCAGGUUAAAAACAUUAUUUCUCUUAAACUCUCCCAAAUGUACAUUCAAGUAUAAUAUUUAUUUUAGCUUUGAUAUUUAUAGACUCAAGGCCAUCUCAGAUAAUUCAGGAAUUGAAUGGUAUAAAGUUUAUCAGUAAUCUUUACUUCUCCCUAUCCCCUAGGGGUGUGUGUGUGUGU
Molecule: long non-coding RNA, 4067 nt
Organism: Antechinus flavipes (yellow-footed antechinus)
Lineage: Eukaryota; Metazoa; Chordata; Mammalia; Dasyuromorphia; Dasyuridae
Exons: 2
Source: RefSeq, a predicted model, not a curated record